CACGUAGGGCGCAAGCGUUGUCCGGAAUUAUUGGGCGUAAAGGGCUCGUAGGCGGUCUGUCGCGUCUGCUGUGAAAACUCAGGGCUUAACUCUGAGCUUGCAGUGGGUACGGGCAGACUAGAGUGCGGUAGGGGAGACUGGAAUUCCUGGUGUAGCGGUGAAAUGCGCAGAUAUCAGGAGGAACACCGGUGGCGAAGGCGGGUCUCUGGGCCGUAACUGACGCUGAGGAGCGAAAGCAUGGGGAGCGAACAGG
Molecule: ribosomal RNA, 253 nt
Filed under: uncultured bacterium
Lineage: Bacteria
Description: partial 16S ribosomal RNA
Rfam family: Bacterial small subunit ribosomal RNA
Source: RNAcentral